GACGAACGCUGGCGGCGUGCUUAACACAUGCAAGUCGAACGGUGAAGCGCCUUCCUUUUUGGUGGGUGUGGAUGAGUGGCGAACGGGUGAGUAACACGUGAGUAACCUGCCCCCUUCUUCUGGAUAACCGCAUGAAAGUGUGGCUAAUACGGGAUAUUCUGGGUCUGUCGCAUGAUGGGUCUGGGAAAGAUAUUGUUUCGGUGGGGGAUGGGCUCGCGGCCUAUCAGCUUGUUGGUGGGGUGAUGGCCUACCAAGGCGGUGACGGGUAGCCGGCCUGAGAGGGUGGACGGUCACACUGGGACUGAGACACGGCCCAGACUCCUACGGGAGGCAGCAGUGGGGAAUAUUGUACAAUGGGCGCAAGCCUGAUGCAGCGACGCCGCGUGAGGGAUGGAGGCCUUCGGGUUGUGAACCUCUUUCGCCAGUGAAGCAGGCCUGCCUCGUUUGUGAGUGGGUUGACGGUAGCUGGAUAAGAAGCGCCGGCUAACUACGUG
This 494-nucleotide ribosomal RNA is filed under the name uncultured bacterium. RNAcentral's name for it is "partial 16S ribosomal RNA". It matches the Rfam family "Bacterial small subunit ribosomal RNA", at positions 28 to 507 of the family's 1533-position model. The record is from RNAcentral.